AAGUAAAUGAUUUUGCUCAAUGUAUCUAUCAAUUUUCCAGUAAUAAAAAUAUUGUAACUUACAAAAUAUAAUAGGAUUAAAAUAUAUGAUCUGGUCGACGGUUAAUGGAUGCAUAGUGCACGAAAAUACAAAUAUUCUAGUUGCAGAGAACAACUUUUCUUUUAAUAAAACCAACCGUAUCUAGCAUAGUUGGUUAAAAACUUGAUGGUUGUUAUCUGAUAUUCCAAGUUUGAAGCCCCGUUACUUUACAUUUCGAGUUGAUUUUAUUUCUAAAAAUAUGAAGAUU
This 286-nucleotide long non-coding RNA is filed under the name Ananas comosus (pineapple). RNAcentral describes it as "long non-coding RNA (ACOM_LNC037495)". Lineage: Eukaryota; Viridiplantae; Streptophyta; Magnoliopsida; Poales; Bromeliaceae. The record is from RNAcentral.